AAAAAUGUUUCUUGUGAUAUCACUGCUGAAGAAAAUAUCACUUUGAAAUAUUACUUUUUUAAAGUUCAGUUUCUGAGUCCUACUUUUAAUACUUGAAGACACAAUGACAAUUUUAAAUUUUUUAUUUAUAUAUUUUCUAGUAUAUUAGGAUGAGUAAGAAUUAAUUAAAAUAUUAGAGGCUGUAGGGUCUAAAAUAGUUAUUAAGGACAAUAUGGAAAGACCAUCUUUCAGAAGGCUGAAAUUGAAAAGGAAGCAAUUCCAGCUGUGCAGUUGGAGAGUAAAUGGCCUGUGAAGUAACUGAACCAAGUUCCUCAACAUCUUAAGGUGAGGGCAUUUUCAAAUUGUGAAAAAUCCUUAUUAUGAAAUUAGAGUUUUAUUACAUGAAUCUUUUGAUCAGUUGUCAUCUUGGGAAGACUAACUUCAAUAAUUGGUCUGGAGAGAGGAUGGGGCAAAAACUUACAUGGGGAAUUCUAUAGCCUCUGUGUGAGGAAGAGGUUAGAGAUAAAAAUGGUGUUUUUACUUAAAAAAAAAAAAAAAAGAAAAAGAAAGGAGCAACAUGCAUGUUCAGUCCUGAUUGCUUUCUGGAUCUUGCUAAAGCUGCUAGAACAUUUCCUGUGUUAUCGAUUUUGUAUAUUACCUCAGUUCACCUCUGCUGACAGCAGUUGGUUUAGCUGCACUGGGAUUCAUCCAAUAUUCCCAACCGUGAUGUUAAUUCUAUGGCAAAGUAAAUAAAAGCUCUGUUCUGACGUCAUAAUCGCUGAGUUGGAACCUGGCUUUGCCACAGGCAUGCCUUCACAGAAGUCACUUAACUAAGUCUAGGUUCCUCAUCUGUGAACUGAGAAAACUAAAAGCACUGAUUCCAUGGGGUGCUUAGGAAGAAGUCACCCAUGACUAUCUGGAACAACAUUGUGGGGAAGGCCAAGUUUCUGGUGCGGUCUUACUAAGUUGCCCAGGCUGGUCUUGUACUCUUGGCCUCAAGCAAUCCUCCCACCUCAGCCUCCCAAAGCACUGGGAUUACACACAUGAGCUACUAGGCCCGGCCUCUUCUGUCUUUUUGUAGUGGUGACGUGUGGCAAAUGGAUUGUAAAUGAAGAUAGACUGUGUAAUGAAUGACGACACUAAAGACUAAUGUGAAGGACUUUAGGGAAAACAAAAGGCUUUCAUCUGAAAGGAUGAUCUGUGGACCAAGGUCACUCAUACCACUCACUGCUCAUUUUCUCAUGUUAUUUUAAAACUUUUUUCGGCCUUUAUACUGCUUUCAGCAGCAUUUGUGUGUAAGAAGUGGACGAUGACUUUAAUAAAGAGACCCGAAU
Molecule: long non-coding RNA, 1313 nt
Filed under: Homo sapiens (human)
Lineage: Eukaryota; Metazoa; Chordata; Mammalia; Primates; Hominidae
Description: HSALNT0324270
Source: RNAcentral